RNAcentral lists this ribosomal RNA (448 nucleotides) under uncultured bacterium. Its description in RNAcentral is "bacterial SSU rRNA". It matches the Rfam family "Bacterial small subunit ribosomal RNA", at positions 328 to 792 of the family's 1533-position model. The record is from RNAcentral.
GGUCCAGACUCCUACGGGAGGCAGCAGUGGGGAAUAUUGCACAAUGGGGGAAACCCUGAUGCAGCGACGCCGCGUGGGCGAGGAAGUACCUCGGUAUGUAAAGCCCUAUCAGCAGGGAAGAAACAGGACAGUACCUGACUAAGAAGCCCCGGCUAACUACGUGCCAGCAGCCGCGGUAAUACGUAGGGGGCGAGCGUUAUCCGGAUUCACUGGGUGUAAAGGGAGCGUAGACGGCCAUGCAAGCCAGGGGUGAAAGCCCGGGGCCCAACCCCGGGACUGCCCUUGGAACUGCAUGGCUGGAGUGCGGGAGGGGCAGGCGGAAUUCCUGGUGUAGCGGUGAAAUGCGUAGAUAUCAGGAGGAACACCGGCGGCGAAGGCGGCCUGCUGGACCGCGACUGACGUUGAGGCUCGAAAGCGUGGGGAGCGAACAGGAUUAGAUACCCUUGUA